RNAcentral lists this ribosomal RNA (253 nucleotides) under uncultured bacterium. RNAcentral's name for it is "partial 16S ribosomal RNA". It matches the Rfam family "Bacterial small subunit ribosomal RNA", at positions 524 to 776 of the family's 1533-position model. The record is from RNAcentral.
UACGUAGGGUGCGAGCGUUGUCCGGAAUUAUUGGGCGUAAAGGGUGCGUAGGCGGCGGGGCAAGUCUGAUGUGAAAUCCCGGGGCUCAACCCUGGAACUGCAUUGGAUACUGCCUUACUAGAGUACUGGAGAGGAAACUGGAAUUUACGGUGUAGCAGUGAAAUGCGUAGAUAUCGUAAGGAAGACCAGUGGCGAAGGCGAGUUUCUGGACAGUUACUGACGCUGAGGCACGAAGGCCAGGGGAGCAAACGGG